AAGCGGAGGAAAAGAAACUAACAAGGAUUCCCCUAGUAACGGCGAGUGAAGAGGGAUCAGCCCAAAUUUGUAAUCUGGCUCUUUUCAGAGUCUGAGUUGUAAUUUUGAGAACUGUUUUCUGCUCUGGACCAUGUACAAGUCUGUUGAAAUGCAGCAUCAUUGAGGGUGAGAAUCCUGUUCAUGAUAUGGACUACCAGAGCUUUAUGAUAUAGUCUCUAAGAGUCGAGUUGUUUGGGAAUGCAGCUCAAAGUGGGUGGUAAAUUCCAUCUAAGGCUAAAUAUUGGUGAGAGACCGAUAGCAAACAAGUACCGUGAGGGAAAGAUGAAAAGAACUUUGGAAAGAGAGUUAACAGUACGUGAAAUUGUUAAAAGGGAAACAGUUGAAGUUAGACUUGUUGUUGUUGGUUCAGCUCUUUUAAGGGUGUUUUCUAAUAAUUAACAAACCAAUGUCAAUUUUUGGGUGUUGGAUAAGGGUUAUUGAAAUGUAGCAGUUUUGGCUGUGUUAUAGUCUUUGACUUGGAUACAAUGCUUAGGAUUGAGGAUUGCAGUAAGCCAUUUAUUUGGUGGAACAAUUUAUUGUUCUUCUUGCUGAGGAUAUUGGUGAAAUAGCUUUAAUUGACCCGU
Molecule: ribosomal RNA, 623 nt
Filed under: Gymnosporangium japonicum
Lineage: Eukaryota; Fungi; Basidiomycota; Pucciniomycetes; Pucciniales; Gymnosporangiaceae
Description: eukaryotic LSU rRNA
Rfam family: Eukaryotic large subunit ribosomal RNA
Source: RNAcentral